Molecule: long non-coding RNA, 711 nt
Organism: Ornithodoros turicata
Lineage: Eukaryota; Metazoa; Arthropoda; Arachnida; Ixodida; Argasidae
Exons: 5
Source: RefSeq, a predicted model, not a curated record
UGGGGGCUUCGCGGCUGCAUGCUGCAUUCCACUGGUUGUUAUACGAAAAUCUUUCGAAGUUCUAAUCUCCCGCGCGUUUUGUCUUGCAAUUUUUGAGCAUAGCGAGAACGUACGCCGUACUGUCCAGUGAUAAAAGCUGUUAAGCGCAGCGCCAGAGUACUGUGGUGGACAACGUUUCUUUGUUCUCUGGCUUUCAAGUUUAAGGGGUGCUUGGACUAUCUUGCAUCGGUGGAUAUGAAAAUAGUGGUAACCUACCCUACGAAACAGCUAUUUGCACAUAAGCUUAACAGUUCCCUGUGAGAUGCUGUGAAAGUCAGCAGGGAAGUGCGAUGUAGAAGAAAUGACUGCCAGAAGCUUGCUAAGGAACCGCACAACCUGUGUGGGCAGCAGACAAAAUAUUCAUCAAACGAAGUUUUGCACCAAAGUUAUGAGAGCAGCACAGAUGUUUUUUUAGCGUAAUGGAGUGAUGGAAGUGCUGCGCCAAUCAUGGAGUGCUUAGCAGUCGCCUGCUCGACCAGCCACAGUGAGUCAUUGGAGGCAGUGCUGCAGCACCAACAAUCACUCGUUGGAAGAAAGGAAUGAGGUGGCCAUCAACACUCCUCAGUCAAAACACAAGACGCCUGCUUGGCGGCAAAGUCAAUCCAGUUUUAGACAAGAGUUUUGUACCGUAGACUUCGUGUGUGGUUUACUGCGAAUAAAUGUUUAUGCUGA